RNAcentral lists this transfer RNA (77 nucleotides) under Coriobacteriaceae bacterium. Its description in RNAcentral is "tRNA-Asp". It matches the Rfam family "tRNA". Rfam says of the family: Transfer RNA (tRNA) molecules are approximately 80 nucleotides in length. Their secondary structure includes four short double-helical elements and three loops (D, anti-codon, and T loops). Further hydrogen bonds mediate the characteristic L-shaped molecular structure. tRNAs have two regions of fundamental functional importance: the anti-codon, which is responsible for specific mRNA codon recognition, and the 3' end, to which the tRNAs corresponding amino acid is attached (by aminoacyl-tRNA synthetases). tRNAs cope with the degeneracy of the genetic code in two manners: having more than one tRNA (with a specific anti-codon) for a particular amino acid; and 'wobble' base-pairing, i.e. permitting non-standard base-pairing at the 3rd anti-codon position. Lineage: Bacteria; Bacillati; Actinomycetota; Coriobacteriia; Coriobacteriales; Coriobacteriaceae. RNAcentral also lists the same sequence under 4 other names. The record is from RNAcentral.
GGGGUGUUAGCUCAGCUGGUUAGAGCGCUGGCCUGUCAAGCCAGAGGUCGUGGGUUCAAGUCCCAUACAUCCCGCCA